AGAUGCACUCGGGAACUUCC
Molecule: non-coding RNA, 20 nt
Filed under: Rattus norvegicus (Norway rat)
Lineage: Eukaryota; Metazoa; Chordata; Mammalia; Rodentia; Muridae
Source: RNAcentral